GGAUCUGAAGAUUCAGGAGUUUCUCUGUUUUCUGUACUCUGCUUCUCCUGAUCUGCCGUGCUCUGUUUCACCGUCUCCGUUAGUUCCACCGAUUUUUCAUCCUUGUCGCCGGUCGUACUGGCGUUGCUACUACAACUACUAUUACUUUUCGUGUCCCCAAAAGAAGAGGAUCUACUAGACAUGGGUGUAGCCAAAUACGUGGGCUUGAUUUCUCCGGCCAUAAUAACCAAGAUUUUCUCUUCAAAAACAGGGGAAGGUUGUUUCUGGGUGUCGCCGUCGCCGGCCUCCAAGUCGGGGUCUCGGUUGGCAGCGUCACCGCCGUCUAAGUAGCCGGAGAGUUUCCAGUAAGAGCAAGCGAGGAUUAGAAGCGCAAAAGCGAUGAGUCCUAACAUAGCAGCCAAGCCACCGAACAAGUAAGGAACAGGGGAAUGCCAAGGGGAGUGCUGCUGCUGUUGUAGUUGAUCUUGAUGGGCCGCGGGUGCGGCGGAGUGCGGUAAAACGUUGAAGGGCUCUCUGCUAGCCGCCAUUGUUAGAAAAAGGGGCUGAAUUUAAUGGGUUUUUGUAUUUUGAAAUCG
This 575-nucleotide unclassified non-coding RNA is filed under the name Hevea brasiliensis (rubber tree). The record is from RNAcentral. Lineage: Eukaryota; Viridiplantae; Streptophyta; Magnoliopsida; Malpighiales; Euphorbiaceae.